UACAGAGGUCCCGAGCGUUGUUCGGAUUCACUGGGCGUAAAGGGUGCGUAGGUGGUGAGGUAAGUCGGAUGUGAAAUCUCCGGGCUCAACCCGGAAAUGGCAUUGGAAACUACCUUGCUGGAGGAUUUGAGGGGGGAUUGGAAUACUUGGUGUAGCAGUGAAAUGCGUAGAUAUCAAGUGGAACACCGGUGGCGAAGGCGGCAUCCUGGACCGAUACUGACGCUGAGGAGCGAAAGCCAGGGGAGCAAACGGG
RNAcentral lists this ribosomal RNA (253 nucleotides) under uncultured bacterium. Its description in RNAcentral is "partial 16S ribosomal RNA". It matches the Rfam family "Bacterial small subunit ribosomal RNA", at positions 524 to 776 of the family's 1533-position model. The record is from RNAcentral.